CACGUAGGGGGCAAGCGUUGUCCGGAUUUAUUGGGCGUAAAGAGCUCGUAGGCUGUUCGAUAAGUCGGGUGUGAAACCUCCAGGCUCAACCUGGAGACGCCACCCGAUACUGUCAUGACUAGAGUCCGGUAGGGGAGCGUGGAAUUCCUGGUGUAGCGGUGAAAUGCGCAGAUAUCAGGAGGAACACCAGCGGCGAAGGCAGCUCGCUGGGACGGUACUGACGCUGAGACGCGAAAGCGUGGGGAGCGAACAGG
RNAcentral lists this ribosomal RNA (254 nucleotides) under uncultured bacterium. RNAcentral's name for it is "partial 16S ribosomal RNA". It matches the Rfam family "Bacterial small subunit ribosomal RNA", at positions 524 to 776 of the family's 1533-position model. The record is from RNAcentral.